This 493-nucleotide ribosomal RNA is filed under the name uncultured bacterium. RNAcentral's name for it is "partial 16S ribosomal RNA". It matches the Rfam family "Bacterial small subunit ribosomal RNA", at positions 30 to 523 of the family's 1533-position model. The record is from RNAcentral.
AUUGAACGCUGGCGGAAUGCUUUACACAUGCAAGUCGAACGGUAACAGGUUAAGCUGACGAGUGGCGAACGCGUGAGUAAUUCAUCCGAACGUGCCCAGUCGUGGGGGAUAACGUAGAUAAAUUAACGCCCCUACCGCAUACGAUCUAACGAUGGUGGCGGGGGAGCGUAAGGCCACGCGCGAUCGCGGUGGCCGACGUCAGAGUGGGUAGUUGGUGGGGUAAAGGCCUACCAAGCCGACGAUCGAUAGGUGGUUUGAGAAGACGACGAGCCACACUGGAACUGAGACACGGCCCGGACUCCUACGGGAGGCAGCAGUGGGGAAUGUUGGACAAUGGGCGCAAGCCUGAUCCAGCCAUUCCGCGUGCAGGAGGAAGGCCCUCGGGUUGUAAGCUGCUUUUGGACAGAACGAAGAGGUCUGGGUUAAUACCCUGGGCUCAUGACGGGACUGUAAGAAUAAGCACCGGCUAACUACGUGCCAUCCGCCGCAGUAA